Carassius carassius (crucian carp) is the source of this 793-nucleotide long non-coding RNA. RefSeq lists it as uncharacterized. The record is from RefSeq and is a predicted model, not a curated record. Lineage: Eukaryota; Metazoa; Chordata; Actinopteri; Cypriniformes; Cyprinidae. The transcript is spliced from 2 exons.
UUUUUUACAGGUUUUUCACAUAUUUAUUUAUUUAUUUAUUUGUUGGUGCCUGACAUUUAAAAUCACCAUCCACUUUCAACAGCAGCUCAGAUGUUCUGCAGAAUGUCUCCUUGUGUUCCACAAAAGAAAAAAGGUGAGUUCACACACACACGCACCAGGAGGGAUCUGAAGCCCACGCGAUACAGACACCUCAACCGAAUGUAAAACAAACACACUCGAUUUCACUCUUCAAAAAGAUGUUCACCACCUUCAAAGCUUUACGACGAAAGCGGAGCGGAACGCUCCAAAACACAGGCAACAAACAACUCGUUUAUACAUUCUCCUAAUUCCUCUCCGACGGGCCUCGAUGUCUUUCUUCAGCAACAGACUGUUGGGGAUCACGGCUUCAACGUUGUGGUUUUAAGACUCCCGUCUCCCCUCCCCGCUCCUCCGUAUCUCUGUGAUAAACGCCAGAGCAAAUUCAAAGCCAAACAAACACGGAUUCAAAGAAAGAUUUUUGUGGCAACUUAAGGAAAGUGCAUGUUCGUGACAACGUGUCGCCGGGGAGUUUGUUCAGUCGGUGCUCGCUCAGAUAGACCCUGGCUGCUCAUCCUGAGCAGGGAAGUGCAUUUGCUUGAUUAUCAUUAAAAAAAGAGAGAUGAUGUCUUCAGAAGUCAGAGGGGAUAUUUAUCAGACUCGCAGUUGGAGACGUGAUGGCGUGUCUCUUCUAAUAGAACAGCCUCAAGGCUCUGGGCCUGUGUGUGCAGGUUAUGAUCCCAUGAGAAGUGAAUAAGCAAAGCGCUGACUGAUCACA